CCUACGGGUGGCAGCAGUGGGGAAUAUUGCACAAUGGGGGAAACCCUGAUGCAGCGACGCCGCGUGAAGGAAGAAGGAUUUCGGUUUGUAAACUUCUAUCAGCAGGGAAGAAAAUGACGAUACCUGACUAAUAAGCACCGGCUAACUACGUGCCAGCAGCCGCGGUAAUACGUAGGGGGCAAGCGUGAUCCGGAUUUACUGGGUGUAAAGGGAGCGUAGGCGGUAUAGCAAGUCAGAUGUGAAAGCCCUGGGCUUAACCCCGGGACUGCAUUUGAAACUGUUAAACUAGAGUACAGGAGAGGAAAGUGGAAUUCCUAGUGUAGCGGUGAAAUGCGUAGAUAUUAGGAGGAACACCAGUGGCGAAGGCGGCUUUCUGGACUGUAAAUGACGCUGAGGCUCGAAAGCGUGGGGAGCAAACAGGAUUAGAUACCCGAGUAGUC
This 440-nucleotide ribosomal RNA is filed under the name uncultured bacterium. RNAcentral's name for it is "partial 16S ribosomal RNA". It matches the Rfam family "Bacterial small subunit ribosomal RNA", at positions 338 to 795 of the family's 1533-position model. The record is from RNAcentral.